AAAUCUCCUCUCUUUUAGUUUGAAACCAUUUCCCCUUGUCCUAUCACAACAGCCCCUCCUUUAGAUUCUUAGAGGUCAUUAUCAGGUCACCUCAGAACCUUCUCAAGGCUGAACAGCCCCGGCUCUCUCAGCCUGACCUCAUAAAGGUGUUCUAUCCUUUGGAGCAUUUUUGUGGCCCCUCAUCUGGAUGCAUUCCAACAGGUCUGUGUCUCUCCUGUACUGAGAACUCCACAUCCAGAUACAGUACUCCAGGUGAGGUUUCACCAGCACAGAGCAGAGGGGCAGGAUCACCUCCCUUGAUCUGCUGGCCAUGCCUCUUUUGAUGAAGCCUAGGAUACAGUUGGCUUUCCAGGCUGUGAGAGCACACUGCUGUACAGCUUCCCAUCCACCAGUACCCCCAAGACCUUUUCAGCAGGGCAGUGCUCCACCUUUACAUUGCCAAGCUUGAACAGAUAGCAGGGGUUGCCACAACCCAGGUGCAAGACCUUGCCUUGAAUUUGUUGAAUCUCAGGAGAUUCACCUGGGCAUGAGCCUGUCUUAGUCUCUCUGGAUCGAAUCCUGUCCCUCGGCCAUGUCAGCCACACCACAGAGCUUGGUAUCAUCCACUAGCUUACUGAGAGUGCACUCGAUCCCACUGUUGAUAUAAUUGAUGAAGACGUUAAAGAGCACUGGUGCCAGUACCAACCCCUGAGGGACAUCACUUGUCACUGAUCUCUGUCUGGACCUUGAGCCAUUUCUGAGUAUGAUCUCAACCAGUUCCUCAUCCAUCAAACAGUUUACCCAUCAAAUCCACAUCUUUCCAAUUUGGGAAAGAAGGAUGUUGUUGGGUUGUAUGUCAAAGACCUUAACUAAAGUCCAGACAGAUGACAUCAGUGGUUCUUCACUUGUACACUGACAUAGUUAUGCCAUCAUAGAAGGCCACUAGAUUGGUCAGGUAGGACCUGCUCUUGGUGAAGCCAUGUUGGUUAUUCCAUAUCACCUCCCUCUCUUUCAUUUGCCUUGGUAUAGCUUUCAGGAGUAUCUGUUCCAUGCACUUCACUGCUUCAUGGGUGAUGCUGACAGCUCUGCAUGCAAAAUGUCUCCUGAACAAGACCAGGAACCUCCUGCUUGGAACAGAAGCCUCCUCUGACCCAGCUGCAUGCUGCUGCCAUUGGAAUGAUGUGGGAUACCGAGUGCUGUAUACAUUUCUGCCUAGAUUUUUCUGGACUGGGAGCCACGAGGAAAAGAAUUGGAUGAACAAGAAUGGCACUUGUGGGGAUAAAUCCAGUCCCUGGAGUGAGUAUCCCAAUCAGAAGGUAGUGAAGAAAUAAGCCUCAACUUCUGUCAAGAAAGCUGUCAGGACCAGGAGACAAUUAGAGCAGUAUCUUGGUCAAAGAAGGAACAUUUGGAAAGAUCUUCUAUGUCUUUUUUAGAUAGCAUGCAAAUUCCUGUUGUGGUAGGUCUCAUCUGGGAUCUGGCAGGGGGUAAAUGAGGCAGCAAGAAGGGGCCACAAUAGAUGAGUUCUGCUGGUUACUGCUGCUUGGCAUGGUGGAGUGUCCAUAGUGCCAGCUGAGUAGAUGGUAGCAUCGUGAGCCUUGAGGGAAUGAUGCUGGGGUUGGGCUUGCUGAAAAAGUCCAGGGUAAAAUGGAGCUGCAGGCAGGAUAAGUGAUGUGGUACCAGGAUGCCUUGCCAUAGCUUCCGAGCAAGGAUGUUAGAGUCAAAAAGAUACAGCUCCUGUAAAAGCCAAAAUCCCUAUUUACUGUUUUCUUUUUCCGAAGCAGAAAUUACAGCUGCUACAUCACUCUUUUCUCAAGGUCAGCAGCCAUCACUGCAAUCUUUCUGCCAUGAGCAAGAGUCACUGGGUAGUUCUUGCUACAGUACUGGGAAAUAAAGAGAAGGAAUAAUGUAAAUCAGGCUGAGUUAGCACCCUGUCACGACUGGCAGCAUUACCUGCCACCAUCCUCACCAGGAGAGGAGGGACAGGCACCAAACUGAUACACAACUCACAGGUUUGUGUUGUGGUUGGCUGUAGGUUUUCAUUAGACUUCAUGUGGACAUAUGGUCAUGUCGAGAGUUCUCUGUUAAGCAGGCCUAAAAAGACGUUUCCUUAUUUUAGGGAGAGUUUAGUGCUAGUGGAAUAUCAUUUGUACGUGGACCUAAGAUAAACAGGAGGAUAUCAAUUGCCCUAUAUCAAGUUUUGUUGUGCUAGAAUGCACAGCUUGUGAUUUGGCCCUAUUGCACAGAAUACCUAAAUGUGAAGAUUCUUUUUGGUUGGGAAAAUCCCUAGAUAUGAUGGAAGUGCAGUGCUCUGGUAACCUGUCAGAAAUGUCUUUGCAAGUGAAGGAUCACAGAGCACAAGGCAAACUCCACAGCUCCUGUCUCUUUUGCUUCCUGUCUCUGCAGCACUUAUUUAAACUGCAUUCUGCAACCCUUCCCUUGCUUUGGUCAUCUCACCCGGGAUCCUGGAGUAAAAGUAGGUUAAAAUGUGCAGGCAAGAAAAAUAUUUUGGAAAUAUAACUCAAUUACAAAGCACUAAAUGAGCAAGUUUAAAAGCUAGUGAGGAUAAAGAAAAUGUUCAGUAACCGAGAGAGUAACUGAGGUGGAAGCAGGGUAGCAGCAGUGAUUUUUACCUGAAACCCAAGGAAGCUGACCCCAAGCAUGUGGCUGCAUUGCAGAUAUAACCCCUAAUAGGCUUGGACAAGCAAAUAAGACCUUGCAGCAGUGAAAGAGCCCUAUUGUGAUUAUAUCAGCUUGUGGGAGCUUGAUGUCUGUUUUUUCUCAGCUGGGCUACACCUUACUGUGUUUUCCCCAGCAUAAAGCUCUUUCACUUAGGCUUAGUUCCAGUGCUCAAGAUUUCAGUGUAUUUUUAGCACGCUGUUUGUUUAUUAUCUGCCAUACAUUUCUUAUAUCUACAGAAGGGCAUGUUAAACAUGGGGCCUUCUGUCUAGAAUAGGUUUUGUUAAAUAACACAGCCAGUGCUUUUGUGCUUUCUGAUAACGUAGAGAGGGGAAACUUUCCUAGGAAUAAUAAAAAAGAAGAAAAUCUCUGAAUUUGGCUGUGUCUCAGCUAAUCCAAAAUGCUUGCAUUUAUUUGCUAAAUAAGGAAUUUCAGCACACAGAAUUACUUCAGUGUUUCUUUCUGUGGAGAGCAAUGUGAGUGAGCAUGUGUCCAUACAACACAUGCAGAAGACUGGUACAAUGACUCAUGUAGACAAAGGAAAAAAGAAGGAAGCUGACAAUGCAAGGGCUGAUAUUUAAAACAGCAGGGGCAUACAGUGAGCAUUCUUGUAGACUGGCCAUUAUUUAUUAAAUACAGAGUGAUUGGAGCUAUGCAAAAUAUAACGAGACAUGCUUCAAGGAAUUCACAGCCUAUUACAAACUCAGAAACAACAUUGGAAGCAUAUAAAGUACAUUAAGUGCUGGUACAAGUUAGCAGUAGCGAAGGAAUCUGGCUGAGGUCAUUGUUGAAAAGUAUUGUGAAAGGAGUGAGUUCAGAGGAGGAGGGGGGAAGUCAUCUGAGGUGAAAUUCUUUGGAAGACUGAAGUGGACCUGGCACCAGUUCCUCUGCGUGGGGUGGAUUUUAUCCCUGACACUGGAGAAAGAUGACUUCCCAUCUGAAGUGGCUGUCAGGGAGAGGAGGGCAAAGGAGAAGCAGGUUGAACUGGUGAGAAAGGGCAUAUGGCAGGACUUGUGGGUGAUUUUUGAAGGCAACGGAAGAAAAGAGAAGGUGGAAGGGGAAGAGGGGAAAAUAUGCAUACGUGGAACUACAAAAUAACUGACCUUGCCUUGGAGCUUGUCAAGAAACACUGUUUACAGGUGAUGCUGAGACGAUUCUCAGGAGUUCAUUCUCAGCUCAUUCUCAACUUUCAAUAUCUUCUGAAAUUUGGUAAAUUGUAAAUAAAGUACAAAUAAAGAAGGAGAAAGAUUCAUUUAAAUGGUAAAUUCACUACCCAAGUAUUGGCAUUCCUUAUUUCUAGAGGAGGGAUGUUGUAUGUUAAUUGAAACAAGAAUGCUUAUCUAUAGUCUGUGCCAUGGAGGUGAUUUGAAAAGGGGCCUUUCACUGUUGGGUUCCCCAGUAAUCCCUUGAAUAAACAUCCAGUGAACUCAGGCAUAAACGUGGGGAAAAAAACUGAGGAUUGUUGAGAGAGGAGAACAAAAAACUUUCUUUAAUACAUAAAUAAUUCUAAAAUAUGUAUUGCGGUAUUUGUGCACCAUUGGAUAAAAGGUCUAGUGUUCUUGGAAAUGCUUCUGGUGCCCAGGCCAACUCACAGCUAGAGUAUUUAGGUAUUUGCACAGAUAGCCAGGCAGAGCAGUGCGUACUGCUAUGCACUAUUAUAUAGACUGGCCUUGAGAGUUUAGCAGAGAAGUGAAUGUCAUCUGGAUCUGAAAAAUGAGCAGUAGCGAGGUAAAAUCAGGAAAGGCUACAUGAAGUAAGCUGACUCCAAGUCCCUGAGUGCUCCCUUUGUUUAUGCUGCUUUUAGCUAGCAGAGAUGUGUCGUCUGGUGUGUGGGUGGUCCCUGCACUGUAACCCAAGGCUAGCUUUUACUUAGUGCUGACACUGCCAUCUUAUUGCUGCAAAUGGAAGAAAAAAAAAUGUAAUGAGACUUUCUACCAGUGAAUUUUGGGGAAUUUUCAUAAUUUCUGGUUGCAAGGAACAAGAAAAUGACAAAAUGCAGCUGACACAGUUGUUGGCAGGUUUUCAAGCCAACCAUGGUUUUACACAGAGCCUGAUGAAGUAGAUGACUUUAGCAUCUAUAUAACUUGUGAAUGGACCUAUACACGCCUUCUUUCCUUCUAUAGUACAGUGUGCUCACUGCAUCUGCUCACAUACAGAAGAGCCAAGCAGCUACAAGUAGAAGAUGAGCCUCGUUGUUCACUACAACAAACAGAGAAAAGGGGGAAGAUGGUUUUUCUUCAGGUCUUCAGGCCAUAUAUUUCAGGAAAAAAUUCUUUGUUCUUUCUUAACUGACCUAAGAACCCCUUCUGGCCUUUAGAUUGCAUUUAGGUGUGAUGGUUGGGACUAGAUGAUCUUAAUGGUCUUUUCCAGUCUUAAUGAUUCCAUGAUCCUAUACAAAUUAGGGUAAAUUGCAUGUUGUUCAUCAGGUAUUAUAUUAAUUCAGUGAAAUUAACCAUCUUAACAAAAAAAAAGUGCUUUUACCAGCUGUCUCUCACAGGUUUCUUACACAUUUUCCAGGGAUGCUCAGAAUCCCUAUGGCCCCAAGUGGAAAAUGUAAGAUGUAGAGGGACAGUCUCUAAUGAGUAUUCAUGUUCUAUGAGUAAAAGAUGCAGGAAUACUUGAUGAGAGGAAAUAUUUUGAAACAAUUUAGAUUUAAUUGUAUUCCAGAUGACUUUUCACCUGUUUAACACACUAGUUAAUGUAAAUAUAUCUUCUAUGUUUCUCCUCAGCAAAAUCUGUUUAGAACAACCUACACAGAUCUGGAAACACAGUGCUGCACUUGGGGGAGAAAAAUUGCAUCUGUGGACUGCUGUCCCUGCCAGAUUACAGGAGUUUAUUACUCUUAGGGGAAAGCUUAAUAGUCUGUUAAUUGAGAAGACAGAAGAUCUUUUACACUUGGCUGCACACUAUUAUUAGGAGCAUUGCAAUAAAGGGAGCAAAGCUUACCCUACAUAUUCAAGCAAAGUUUUGCAAAAUAUGCUUAAUAGGAUAGUGAUGCAUUAUCCAUGCUAUGGUAACGUGGUUCUCUUCAGAGUACAAAAGGCCUCGUGGUAAUAAAAGCAUUGAUUACAGUCAGGGUUCUGUUGUGUGAGGACUGAUGCUAUGAGAAGAGCUGUGGUGGUUCUCAUGGUUCUGACUUUAUCCACAGGUUGCAGAGUUGUAACUCUCUUACACCAUUGUGGCGUAAAGUUAGGCCUAACUUGCACAAAAUUACCAACUUAUCCAAAAUCUUGCUGCUCUUUAAACUUUGAAUCCAGGCUGCCAAUUUGGAGUGAAAGCUGAGUUCCUUAAAGGCAUGAGAUAAUUUGUUCCAAGGUUUUGUCACUUUGUGUGCAGGCAAAACUGCUGCUGCUGUUCAGUGUGAUCUAAUGUUACCAUGAUUCACACAUAGUAGCACUGGUACCAUGACAACU
This is a non-coding RNA of Meleagris gallopavo (turkey), 6068 nucleotides long. Lineage: Eukaryota; Metazoa; Chordata; Aves; Galliformes; Phasianidae. The record is from RefSeq and is a predicted model, not a curated record.